Pseudopipra pipra is the source of this 505-nucleotide long non-coding RNA. RefSeq lists it as uncharacterized. The record is from RefSeq and is a predicted model, not a curated record. The transcript has 3 exons. Lineage: Eukaryota; Metazoa; Chordata; Aves; Passeriformes; Pipridae.
UCCCUCAUUUAUAGUCAUCUGCUAAUUGCUUGAGCUUUGUCAUCUCUUCCUCUUCACCGGAGGAGACUCAGGCACAAUUAGGUUUCAAUCUUGACUGGCACUUUUGGACACCACAGAACACAGAACACAAAUUAUUUUGGAACUGUGGCUGUUGCUCAAAAAUGCUGAAGCUGAAAGAUCUGGAGACUGAAACUCUCCCUCCAUGAAAUCAGUAAGGUCGUUGUCAGCAGUGCUCGUCUCGCUCGUGUUGUUCUGCUAAUACACCUUAAUCUGUCCUGGGGGACCUGAGCUAAUCACAGCUGUUCUGUCGAGGCUGUUAGCAUGGAUUUGGGGUGCUGCGGCUGCUGCUCUCCUGGUUUCCUGGUUUGGACACUUGUCUUGCUGUAAUAAAGUUGUAAGAAAGACAAUACUCAUUAAGUUUUUUCAUAAACACUUCCCCUUCUAGAUUUAGAGAUACCACCGUGAAGCUAAUCCAUAUUUUGAUCCAUGUUGCAAGGUGCUUAUG